Molecule: long non-coding RNA, 832 nt
Filed under: Vombatus ursinus (common wombat)
Lineage: Eukaryota; Metazoa; Chordata; Mammalia; Diprotodontia; Vombatidae
Description: lncRNA (ENSVURG00010008332.1)
Source: RNAcentral
CUGUGUCCAAGGGCUGGGCUUUCAAAGGCAGUCGACUGGCCAUACCCACAAUGGACGGAGAGAUUUGAGAGAGAUAAUUAACUCGACUGGAGAUGACCCAGAUUCCUAAAUUCUGCCCCUGACCUUGACAUUGGGAAUUAAAGUGGGAUUGCGGAUAGAAGAAACAGGAAGCAGAAAACAGAUGUGACCUAGGAGCCCUAGGGAGCAGAAACCGCAGACAGCACAUAUGGGAGCAUGAACCAGGAUGAAGAAGGCACUUCUGCUUAUGUGCCCGAUGCGUAAUAGAUUUGAACGAGCUAAAUGAUACAGAAGAAAGACGUGCUAUUGUGUCUCAGUUAGACUCUUCUAACAACCCUAACCACUUCAUUGAAAAUGUCCCUAAUGAGCAUGUCCGGACAUCUAAGCGGGAAGUCUCUCCUGAAGAUAUCUCCCUUGAAGAUGUCCUCUUAAACAAAAAGGUCUCCAACUCUGAGUCCCCAGAGAAGGAAUCAAUGAGGAACCUACACCAUAAUAAUGAAAUCGUACAGCAUGAGGAAAGAGCCAGUGAGCAAUCAGAAACCAAUACCAAGAACUCCAAACAUGUCCCUGCAGUCACCACAGAAGGAAGACUUGCCAAGCUGGGCCUCAAAGUUGGAGAAGAGAUAGACCUAAUGCUGACCAAGAUCAAGAACAAGAUGAAAAACUAUUUUUCUUUGAGAUCUUAAUAUGGCGAUUGUGGGGCUGUCAUGCAAGGAUCCAGCACCUGGGGCAGGGCCCUCCAGUCCCUAAAGCCCCAUCCUACUGGGAUUUCUCCAAAUACCUGACGAGAUAUCCUGAUUAAACACUGCAUCCC